RNAcentral lists this ribosomal RNA (597 nucleotides) under Trichoderma hamatum. RNAcentral's name for it is "eukaryotic LSU rRNA". The stretch from base 206 to 359 matches the Rfam family "5.8S ribosomal RNA". The record is from RNAcentral. Lineage: Eukaryota; Fungi; Ascomycota; Sordariomycetes; Hypocreales; Hypocreaceae.
UUGGGGACGCGGAGGGACAUUACCGAGUUUACAACUCCCAAACCCAAUGUGAACGUUACCAAACUGUUGCCUCGGCGGGGUCACGCCCCGGGUGCGUAAAAGCCCCGGAACCAGGCGCCCGCCGGAGGAACCAACCAAACUCUUUCUGUAGUCCCCUCGCGGACGUAUUUCUUACAGCUCUGAGCAAAAAUUCAAAAUGAAUCAAAACUUUCAACAACGGAUCUCUUGGUUCUGGCAUCGAUGAAGAACGCAGCGAAAUGCGAUAAGUAAUGUGAAUUGCAGAAUUCAGUGAAUCAUCGAAUCUUUGAACGCACAUUGCGCCCGCCAGUAUUCUGGCGGGCAUGCCUGUCCGAGCGUCAUUUCAACCCUCGAACCCCUCCGGGGGAUCGGCGUUGGGGAUCGGGACCCCUCACCGGGUGCCGGCCCUGAAAUACAGUGGCGGUCUCGCCGCAGCCUCUCCUGCGCAGUAGUUUGCACAACUCGCACCGGGAGCGCGGCGCGUCCACGUCCGUAAAACACCCAACUUCUGAAAUGUUGACCUCGGAUCAGGUAGGAAUACCCGCUGAACUUAAGCAUAUCAAAGGGGGGGAAAAAGAA